This 450-nucleotide ribosomal RNA is filed under the name uncultured Glomus. Its description in RNAcentral is "SSU rRNA". It matches the Rfam family "Eukaryotic small subunit ribosomal RNA", at positions 569 to 1024 of the family's 1831-position model. Lineage: Eukaryota; Fungi; Glomeromycota; Glomeromycetes; Glomerales; Glomeraceae. The record is from RNAcentral. RNAcentral also lists the same sequence under 1 other name.
AGCAGCCGCGGUAAUUCCAGCUCCAAUAGCGUAUAUUAAAGUUGUUGCAGUUAAAAAGCUCGUAGUUGAAUUUCGGGAUCAGUAGGUCGGUCAUGCCUCUGGUAUGUACUGGCCUCACUGGUUCCUCCUUCCUGAUGAACCGUAAUGCCAUUAAUUUGGUGUUGCGGGGAAACUGGACUGUUACUUUGAAAAAUUAGAGUGUUUAAAGCAGGCUAACGCUUGAAUACAUUAGCAUGGAAUAAUGAAAUAGGACGAUCGAUCCUAUUUUGUUGGUUUCUAGGAUUGACGUAAUGAUUAAUAGGGAUAGUUGGGGGCAUUAGUAUUCAAUUGUCAGAGGUGAAAUUCUUGGAUUUAUUGAAGACUAACUACUGCGAAAGCAUUUGCCAAGGAUGUUUUCAUUAAUCAAGAACGAAAGUUAGGGGAUCGAAGACGAUCAGAUACCGUCGUAGU